GGCCAGUGAUGUAAUUAUAUAUUUGCUACUCUUGAUGGGACUUUAUUUAAUUUCCAUCUGAUGAUUCCUUGUCCACCAAGAUCUCUGAGGCC
Molecule: non-coding RNA, 92 nt
Organism: Solanum lycopersicum (tomato)
Lineage: Eukaryota; Viridiplantae; Streptophyta; Magnoliopsida; Solanales; Solanaceae
Source: Rfam